ACGAACGCUGGCGGCGUGCCUAACACAUGCAAGUCGAACGGAGAUAUUAGAAAUAGUAUCUUAGUGGCGGACGGGUGAGUAACGCGUGGGCAACCUACCUUUAGCCGGGGGAUAACACAGGGAAACUUGUGCUAAUACCGCAUAAAGUCACGAUAAGACAUCUUAAUGUGACCAAAGGAGAAAUCCGGAGAGAGAUGGGCCCGCGUCCGAUUAGCUUGUUGGAGGUGUAACGGACCACCAAGGCGACGAUCGGUAGCCGAACUGAGAGGUUGAACGGCCACAUUGGGACUGAGACACGGCCCAGACUCCUACGGGAGGCAGCAGUGGGGAAUAUUGCGCAAUGGGGGGAACCCUGACGCAGCAACGCCGCGUGAAGGAUGAAGGUUUUCGGAUUGUAAACUUCUUUGAUAGGGGAAGAAAAGGGACGGUACCCUAAGAACAAGCCACGGCUAACUACGU
This 459-nucleotide ribosomal RNA is filed under the name uncultured bacterium. Its description in RNAcentral is "partial 16S ribosomal RNA". It matches the Rfam family "Bacterial small subunit ribosomal RNA", at positions 29 to 506 of the family's 1533-position model. The record is from RNAcentral.